GGCGACACCAAGCUCAGGCCAUUACGACUGUAGGAGCCAGCCAUUUGAGCAUGAACAUUUAGGGUUGGAGAGACGCCAGAAAACUAGCACCCAUGCC
Molecule: long non-coding RNA, 97 nt
Filed under: Dermacentor andersoni
Lineage: Eukaryota; Metazoa; Arthropoda; Arachnida; Ixodida; Ixodidae
Description: uncharacterized LOC126540000
Source: RNAcentral